UACGGAGGGUGCAAGCGUUAUCCGGAUUUACUGGGUUUAAAGGGUGCGUAGGUGGAAUGAUAAGUCAGUGGUGAAAUCUUGCAGCUCAACUGUAAAACUGCCAUUGAUACUGUCGUUCUUGAAUGUAGUUGAUGUGGGCGGAAUAUGUCAUGUAGUGGUGAAAUACUUAGAUAUGACAUAGAACACCGAUUGCGAAGGCAGCUCACAAAACUAUUAUUGACACUGAGGCACGAAAGCGUGGGGAUCAAACAGG
Molecule: ribosomal RNA, 253 nt
Filed under: uncultured prokaryote
Description: partial 16S ribosomal RNA
Rfam family: Bacterial small subunit ribosomal RNA
Source: RNAcentral